GCCCCCGUAGCGCAAUGGUAGCGCGUAAGACUGUAUGUCCACACAUCAAUAUUCCCAUGUUCAAAAACCCAUCAACUAACAAAUCAACAGUCUACUUUCAAAGUGAUCUUAAGGUUGCGAGUUCGAGCCUCGCCGGGGGCU
Molecule: transfer RNA, 141 nt
Filed under: Aspergillus nomiae NRRL 13137
Lineage: Eukaryota; Fungi; Ascomycota; Eurotiomycetes; Eurotiales; Aspergillaceae
Description: Aspergillus nomius NRRL 13137 tRNA
Rfam family: tRNA
About the family: Transfer RNA (tRNA) molecules are approximately 80 nucleotides in length.
Source: Rfam by way of RNAcentral